Molecule: ribosomal RNA, 254 nt
Filed under: uncultured bacterium
Lineage: Bacteria
Description: partial 16S ribosomal RNA
Rfam family: Bacterial small subunit ribosomal RNA
Source: RNAcentral
UACGAAGGGGGCGAGCGUUAUUCGGAAUCACUGGGCGUAAAGCGUGCGUAGGCGGUUUUGUAAGUCAGAAGUGAAAGCCCAGGGCUCAACCCUGGAAUUGCUUUUGAAACUACAAGACUUGGGAUUCGGGAGAGGAUAGCGGAAUUGUCAGUGUAGCAGUGAAAUGCGUAGAUAUUGACAGGAACACCAGUGGCGCAAGCGGCUAUCUGGACCGACAUCGACGCUGAGGCACGAAAGCGUGGGGAUCAAACAGG